UACAGAGACUUCAAGCGUUAUCCGGAUUUAUUGGGCGUAAAGGGCGCGUAGAAGGUUUGGUGCGUCUUGCGUAAAAUCUUACCGCUUAACGGUAAGCUCGCGCGGGAUACGGCCAAACUAGAGGAUACCAGAGGCAAGCGGAACGCACGGUGUAGGGGUGAAAUCCGUUGAUAUCGUGCGGAACACCAGAGGCGAAGGCGGCUUGCUGGGGUAUUCCUGACUUUGAAGCGCGAAAGCGUGGGGAGCAAAA
Molecule: ribosomal RNA, 250 nt
Filed under: uncultured bacterium
Lineage: Bacteria
Description: partial 16S ribosomal RNA
Rfam family: Bacterial small subunit ribosomal RNA
Source: RNAcentral